Molecule: ribosomal RNA, 384 nt
Filed under: uncultured bacterium
Lineage: Bacteria
Description: bacterial SSU rRNA
Rfam family: Bacterial small subunit ribosomal RNA
Source: RNAcentral
AUUGAACGCUGGCGGCAUGCCUUACACAUGCAAGUCGAACGGCAGCGGGCCUUCGGGUGCCGGCGAGUGGCGAACGGGUGAGUAAUGCAUCGGAACGUGCCAUUGAGUGGGGGAUAACGUAGCGAAAGUUACGCUAAUACCGCAUAUUCUGUGAGCAGGAAAGCAGGGGAUCGCAAGACCUUGCGCUCUGGGAGCGGCCGAUGUCGGAUUAGCUAGUUGGUGGGGUAAAGGCCUACCAAGGCGACGAUCCGUAGCGGGUCUGAGAGGAUGAUCCGCCACACUGGGACUGAGACACGGCCCAGACUCCUACGGGAGGCAGCAGUGGGGAAUUUUGGACAAUGGGCGCAAGCCUGAUCCAGCCAUGCCGCGUGAGUGAAGAAGGCC